Small nuclear RNA from Octodon degus (degu), 107 nucleotides. NCBI's taxonomy places the organism in Eukaryota, Metazoa, Chordata, Mammalia, Rodentia, Octodontidae. The record is from Ensembl.
GUGCUCGCUUUGGCAGUACAUAUACUAAAAUUGGAAUGAUACAGAGAAGAUUAGCAUGGCCCCUGUACAAAGGAGACAGUUAACAUUUAUACAUGUGAGUCUGAUCU